CCUACGGGUGGCAGCAGUGGGGAAUAUUGGACAAUGGGGGCAACCCUGAUCCAGCCAUGCCGCGUGUGUGAAGAAGGCCCUCGGGUUGUAAAGCACUUUCAGUGAGGAAGAACGCCUGGUGGUUAAUACCCAUCAGGAAAGACAUCACUCACAGAAGAAGCACCGGCUAACUCCGUGCCAGCAGCCGCGGUAAUACGGAGGGUGCGAGCGUUAAUCGGAAUUACUGGGCGUAAAGCGCGCGUAGGUGGCUUGAUAAGCCGGUUGUGAAAGCCCCGGGCUCAACCUGGGAACGGCAUCCGGAACUGUCCAGCUAGAGUGCAGGAGAGGAAGGUAGAAUUCCCGGUGUAGCGGUGAAAUGCGUAGAGAUCGGGAGGAAUACCAGUGGCGAAGGCGGCCUUCUGGACUGACACUGACACUGAGGUGCGAAAGCGUGGGUAGCAAACAGGAUUAGAUACCCCGGUAGUC
RNAcentral lists this ribosomal RNA (465 nucleotides) under Vreelandella stevensii. Its description in RNAcentral is "partial 16S ribosomal RNA". It matches the Rfam family "Bacterial small subunit ribosomal RNA", at positions 338 to 795 of the family's 1533-position model. The record is from RNAcentral. Lineage: Bacteria; Pseudomonadati; Pseudomonadota; Gammaproteobacteria; Oceanospirillales; Halomonadaceae.